RNAcentral lists this ribosomal RNA (269 nucleotides) under uncultured prokaryote. RNAcentral's name for it is "partial 16S ribosomal RNA". It matches the Rfam family "Bacterial small subunit ribosomal RNA", at positions 524 to 792 of the family's 1533-position model. The record is from RNAcentral.
UACGUAGGGGACAAGCGUUGUCCGGAAUUACUGGGCGUAAAGCGCACGCAGGCUGACUUAUAAGUCGGUAGUCUAAUGCGGAGGCUCAACUUCCGUUUAUCUAUCGAUACUGUAAGACUAGAGUAUGUGAGAGGGAAGUGGAAUUCCCGGUGUAGCGGUGAAAUGCGUAGAUAUUGCACGGAACACCAAUUGCGAAGGCAGCUUACUGGACCAUUACUGACGCUCAGGCACGAAAGCGUGGGGAUCAAACAGGAUUAGAUACCCCGGUA